AUACGUAGGUGACAAGCGUUAUCCGGAUUUACUGGGCGUAAAGGGCGUGUAGGCGGUCUUGCAAGUCAGAAGUGAAAUUCCUGAGCUCAACUCGGGCGCUGCUUCUGAAACUGCAGGACUUGAGUGCUGGAGGGGAUAGCGGAAUUCCUAGUGGAGCGGUAAAAUGCGCAGAUAUUGGGAAGAACACCGGUGGCGAAGGCGGCUAUCUGGACAGUAACUGACGCUGAGGCGCGAAAGCGUGGGGAGCAAACAGGAUUAGAUACCCUGGUAGUCCAUGCCGUAAACGAUGAAUACUAGGUGUAGGGGGUAUCGACUCCCUCUGUGCCGCAGUUAACACAAUAAGCAUUCCGCCUGGGGAGUACGGCCGCAAGGUUGAAACUCAAAUGAAUUGGCGGGG
RNAcentral lists this ribosomal RNA (397 nucleotides) under uncultured bacterium. RNAcentral describes it as "partial 16S ribosomal RNA". It matches the Rfam family "Bacterial small subunit ribosomal RNA", at positions 523 to 918 of the family's 1533-position model. The record is from RNAcentral.